CAAUAGCGUAUAUUUAAGUUGUUGCAGUUAAAACGCUCGUAGUGUGACUUCGGUCUAGCUCCGUAGGUCUGCCAGUCCGUCUGGUGUGCACUUGCGGGGUUUGGCUAACAGUCGAGAGCGCAUUGCACUUGAUUGUGUGUCGGCCUCGGUGCAGAUACUUUGAGUAAAGGUUCGUGUUCUAAGCAAGCGGUUCGCUUGAUACUUGCAGCAUGGGAUAUCGAGACAGGACUUGGAUCCUAUCUUGUUGGUUCUCGGGAUCCAAGUAAUGGUUAACAGGAAUAGUUGGGGGCACUCGAAUUUGGCAGCUAGAGGUGAAAUUCUUGGAUUUGCCAACGACGAACUACUGCGAAAGCAUUUGCCAAGGAUGUUUUCAUUAA
This 377-nucleotide ribosomal RNA is filed under the name uncultured eukaryote. RNAcentral's name for it is "partial 18S ribosomal RNA". It matches the Rfam family "Eukaryotic small subunit ribosomal RNA", at positions 592 to 976 of the family's 1831-position model. The record is from RNAcentral.